UGCUGGUGGCGGCUGCUGCUGGUGGCGGCUAAUGCUGGCAGCUGCUGCUGCCGGCUGCUGGUAAUGGUGGCUGGUGCUGGCCAUGGCUGCUGGUGGUGUCUGUCCAUUGUUGAAUCUAUUGUCGCCCUAUUUCACUUUAUCUGCUUUUUAGUGUCCAGGACACAGAUGAAGAGGAUGUUAGUAUGUGUUGUCGAGAGGAACUGCCCUACAGUGACUGGCCAUAGUGCAUAGUGGAACUCCACAGAUCUUGCUGGACCACCAGUAUCGUUGUUGUGGCCACUGUACGUAUGUUUGUUGAUAUUAUUCAUGCUUGUUCCCAUUUUUUUUUGUUCCACACUGUUCAUUUUUAUCUUAUGCCAGGUACCUUUAUUAUGAAUGUUGUCCUUCCUUUCAGCCCUGAUGCACUCUGAAGCCUGAUUUGUGGAGGAUUUUUUUAAAAUGUAUUAAUCACUUAUAAUAUUCCUCCCUGUUCCUUCACUUUGUUCUUGUUUUUCCAGUUAGAUACACACAUUUACACACACACACACAUCUUGUUGUCUCACUCAGUGUUUUUUAUUAAACAAUAUUUGAUUCAUUCA
Alosa sapidissima (American shad) is the source of this 578-nucleotide long non-coding RNA. RefSeq lists it as uncharacterized. The transcript is spliced from 2 exons. Lineage: Eukaryota; Metazoa; Chordata; Actinopteri; Clupeiformes; Clupeidae. The record is from RefSeq and is a predicted model, not a curated record.